Molecule: ribosomal RNA, 464 nt
Filed under: uncultured bacterium
Lineage: Bacteria
Description: partial 16S ribosomal RNA
Rfam family: Bacterial small subunit ribosomal RNA
Source: RNAcentral
GACGAACGCUGGCGGCGUGCUUAACACAUGCAAGUCGAACGGAAAGGCCCUGCUUGCAGGGUACUCGAGUGGCGAACGGGUGAGUAACACGUGGGUGAUCUGCCCUGCACUUCGGGUUAAGCCUGGGAAACUGGGUCUAAUACCGGUUAGUAGCCAGUGUGAGUGUGAUGGUUGGAAAGUUUUUUCGGUGUAGGAUGAGCGCGCGGCCUAUCAGCUUGUUGGUGGGGUAAUGGCCUACCAAGGCGGCGACGGGUAGCCGGCCUGAGAGGGUGGACGGGCACAUUGGGACUGAGAUACGGAGCAGAGGCCAACGGGAGGCAGCGGUGGGGAAUAUUGCACAAUGGGGGCAAGCCUGAUGCAGAGACGCCGCGUGGGUGAUGACGGCCUUCGGGUUGUAAACGGCAGUCGCUAGGGACGAAGCUUUUGUGACGGUACCUAGAGAAGAAGCACCGGCUAACUACGUG